UACGUAGGCAGCGAGCGUUGUUCGGAUUUACUGGGCGUAAAGGGCGCGUAGGCGGCCACUGCAAGUCGAUUGUGAAAUCUCCGGGCUUAACCCGGAAAGGUCAACCGAUACUGCGGGGCUAGAGUGCAGAAGGGGCAACUGGAAUUCUCGGUGUAGCGGUGAAAUGCGUAGAUAUCGAGAGGAACACCUGCGGCGAAGGCGGGUUGCUGGGCUGACACUGACGCUGAAGUGCGAAAGCUAGGGGAGCGAACGGG
Molecule: ribosomal RNA, 254 nt
Filed under: uncultured bacterium
Lineage: Bacteria
Description: partial 16S ribosomal RNA
Rfam family: Bacterial small subunit ribosomal RNA
Source: RNAcentral